UGGCAGGCUGAGAAGUAAUCUGAGGGUUUUCUGUUGGGUGGGGCCAAUCUCUAGGUCAAGCUGCCUGUCCUGGCUGAAUUGGAUAAAAUCUGCACUGUAGUGGGUGUGGCAGACUCCUGGGCUAUCAGGACAGGGGAAGAACUUCAAUGGGGUCUGCCAGAAUCUGUGUCAGCACACCUGUACUAGGUCACAACAAUGGCCACCACCAAUGUCUUGGUCUCUGGAGAGGUGUCACCUCUCACUGAGAUGCACCCAGAGCCUACCAGAAAGUAAACUGUUACAUGAAAGGAAUAAAAAUUGAAAGUGGAGAUCUUGGCCUUGCUAUAAGAGACAAACAAAUCAAAGAACUAGGCCCUCAGCUACUUUCUCAAUGGAGCUCAAUGGAGAACAGUGGCUACCUUUGCACCUACGCCAUCUCCUAGCCUUGGUGGGCUGUCUCAGUCUCCCCCAAAGAUGAGAGCCAUGUGAAGAGAGCUUCAGCAGGGCAGUUGCAGCCCAAGCGAGAUUCAAAUGGACUUGUGGAGGUUCUGACUCUUACCACCACUUCCCAACUCAGAGGGAGCAAAGUGCUGGGGCGCUGUAUGGGACGGAGUGGAUCUGGCUUCCCUAGGCUGUCUGGAUGAACCAACUAGCACAGCCUGGAAGCAUAGGAGUACUUAAUACUGGGUGGGGGGAAGGGACAAUGAGGCAGACUGACCAAAGAAAGGCAGAUGGAAAAGAGAUGACAGACGAAUUUUCCUUCCUCCUUUCUUCACCCCAGGGGAGUUCCCGGGUACAGUGGAUCUACACAGCCAGACCAGAGAAAUCUGGCAUGGGCCAGCGACUAACUGUAUUUUCUUGUGAAACUGUGGCCACCUCAUUAAGCACGAUGUUUUUGUUCUCCUUCCUUUCCUGCCUGACUUCCCUCUUCCAUCACUUUUGCUGCCCUAGGAUUUUACCUUCCAAUAAAGCUAGACCAU
RNAcentral lists this long non-coding RNA (959 nucleotides) under Equus asinus (donkey). RNAcentral describes it as "lncRNA (ENSEASG00005023955.1)". The record is from RNAcentral. Lineage: Eukaryota; Metazoa; Chordata; Mammalia; Perissodactyla; Equidae.